GCCAGCAGCCGCGGUAAUACAGAGGGUGCAAGCGUUAUUCGGAAUUACUGGGCGUAAAGCGCGCGUAGGCGGACUGUUAAGUCGGUUGUGAAAGCCCUGGGCUCAACCUAGGAAUUGCAUCCGAUACUGGCAAUCUAGAGUUUAGGAGAGGGAAGUGGAAUUCCUGGUGUAGCAGUGAAAUGCGUAGAUAUCAGGAGGAACAUCAGUGGCGAAGGCGACUUCCUGGCCUAAAACUGACGCUGAGGUGCGAAAGCGUGGGUAGCGAACGGGAUUAGAUACCCCGGUAGUCCACGCCGUAAACGAUGUCAACUAGCUGUUGGCCUUAUUAAAAAGGUUAGUAGCGUAGCUAACGCGCUAAGUUGACCGCCUGGGGAGUACGGUCGCAAGAUUAAAACUCAAAGGAAUUGGACGGGGGCCCGCACAAGCGGUGGAGCAUGUGGUUUAAUUACGAUGCAAACGCGAAGAACCUUACCAUCCCCUUGACAUCCUGCGAACUUUCUAGAGAUAGAUUGGUGCCUUCGGGAACGCAGUGACAGGUGCUGCAUGGCUGUCGUCAGCUCGUGUCGUGAGAUGUUGGGUUAAGUCCCGCAACGAGCGCAACCCUUAUCUUUAGUUGCUACCAUUUAGUUGAGAACUCUAAAGAGACUGCCGGUGAUAAACCGGAGGAAGGCGGGGACGACGUCAAGUCAUCAUGGCCCUUAUGGGAUGGGCUACACACGUGCUACAACUGGGGGGUACAAAGAGCAGCUAGCUGGCGACAGUGCGCGAAUCUCAUAAAACCUCUCGUAGUCCGGAUCGGAGUCUGCAACUCGACUCCGUGAAGUCGGAAUCGCUAGUAAUCGUGAAUCAGAAUGUCACGGUGAAUACGUUCCCGGGCCUUGUACACACCGCCCGUCACACCAUGGGAGUGGGUUGCAAAAGAAGUGGGUAGUCUAACCUUCGGGAGGGCGCUCACCACUUUGUGAUUCAUGACUGGGGUGAAGUCGACACAAGGUAGCC
This 999-nucleotide ribosomal RNA is filed under the name uncultured bacterium. Its description in RNAcentral is "bacterial SSU rRNA". It matches the Rfam family "Bacterial small subunit ribosomal RNA", at positions 507 to 1501 of the family's 1533-position model. The record is from RNAcentral.